AGAGUUUGAUCCUGGCUCAGGAUGAACGCUAGCGGGAGGCUUAACACAUGCAAGCCGAGGGGUAUAUAAUUGCUUGCAAUUAUAGAGACCGGCGGAUGGGUGAGUAACGCGUAUGAAACCUGCCCUAUUCAUCAGGAUAGCCCUAGGAAACUGGGAUUAAUACUGAAUAACACUAAUAUCGGCAUCGAUGUUGGUUAAAAGAUUUAUCGGAAUAGGAUGGUCAUGCGUCAGAUUAGUUAGUUGGUAGGGUAACGGCCUACCAAGGCAAUGAUCUGUAGGGGGCCUGAGAGGGUGAUCCCCCACACUGGUACUGAGACACGGACCAGACUCCUACGGGAGGCAGCAGUGAGGAAUAUUGGACAAUGGGUGAGAGCCUGAUCCAGCCAUCCCGCGUGCAGGAAGAAUGCCUUAUGGGUUGUAAACUGCUUUUAUACAGGAAUAAACCACUUUACGUGUAAGGUGUUGAAGGUACUGUAUGAAUAAGCAUCGGCUAACUCCGUGCAGCAGCCGCGGUAAUACGGAGGAUGCAAGCGUUAUCCGGAUUUAUUGGGUUUAAAGGGUCCGUAGGCGGGCAUAUAAGUCAGAGGUGAAAUCCGACAGCUUAACUGUCGAACUGCCUUUGAAACUGUAUGUCUUGAGUGAGAUUGAAGCAGCUGGAAUGUGUAGUGUAGCGGUGAAAUGCAUAGAUAUUACACAGAACACUGAUAGCGAAGGCAGGUUGCUAAGUCUUUACUGACGCUGAUGGACGAAAGCGUGGGGAGCAAACAGGAUUAGAUACCCUGGUAGUCCACGCCGUAAACGUUGGAUACUGUCUAUUGGAAAUUUUCAGUGGAUAAGCGAAAGUGAUAAGUAUCCCACCUGGGGAGUACGUUCGCAAGAAUGAAACUCAAAGGAAUUGACGG
This 902-nucleotide ribosomal RNA is filed under the name uncultured bacterium. RNAcentral describes it as "bacterial SSU rRNA". It matches the Rfam family "Bacterial small subunit ribosomal RNA", at positions 8 to 916 of the family's 1533-position model. The record is from RNAcentral.